CCCCUAGAGGAGCCUGUUCUAUAAUCGAUAAUCCACGAUCUACCUCACCAUCUCUUGCCAAUACCGGCUAUAUACCGCCGUCACCAGCCUACCCUAUGAAGGAUAUAAAAGUAAGCAAAAUAGCACAACAGCUAACAAGUCAGGUCAAGGUGUAGCUUACUGAGAUGGAAGAAAUGGGCUACAUUUUCUAAACUAGAAAUCAUUUCACGGAAAGAACUAUGAAACAAGUCCUAUAAGUAGGAUUUAGCAGUAAAUAGGGAUCAGAAUGCCCAAUUUAAGCCGGUCCUAAGGUACGC
This 296-nucleotide ribosomal RNA is filed under the name Testudo hermanni boettgeri. RNAcentral's name for it is "partial 12S ribosomal RNA". Lineage: Eukaryota; Metazoa; Chordata; Testudines; Testudinidae. The record is from RNAcentral.